Molecule: long non-coding RNA, 758 nt
Organism: Drosophila montana
Lineage: Eukaryota; Metazoa; Arthropoda; Insecta; Diptera; Drosophilidae
Exons: 2
Source: RefSeq, a predicted model, not a curated record
UAUUUUGAUCUGCCUUUAAUUUUGAUUUUGUGUCAAAAUUUAUUUUACACAUUCUAUUUUAUACAAAUUAUAUUCCCUGGUUAUUACGCUUAUCUUUUCAGUUUAAGCAAUUAAUCCAAAAUAACUUUGGAAAACUUCACAGCUUAAAUGCCACAGAGCAGAACUCUCAUAAUGAUUACCAAAGGGCCUUAUAAAACUGCCAACUGGGCGCAUUCUUCGACAAGAACUUCAUCAACAGGUUCCCCACCCAACCGAGAGCACCAGGUUCAGCAAAAGUUAAAUUAUAAGCCGCCAAAUGAUGUCUGUCGCCUAUGCAAACACACAGCCUGCCAUCCAAAAACUUCAACGUCUGGAAUGGGAGGCGUCUGCCAAGCCGGCCCCUUAAAGUGGAGGCACUUAAGAUGCUUAGCGCCAUGGCAAGCGAAAAUAAUGACGCUCAUAAAAACUAACUAAACAGAAAAAUAAAGCAAACAGCAUUAAAGGACGACAACGUGAAAUACAGUUAUAUAGACGGCAACUCAGAACUCAGAGCGAAACGCUCGGGUUUUUGUGUAUAGAGCGGUAGAUGAUGGAAGCCUGUUGGUUGUUUUAAUAUAUCCUGUAGAUGCUGUGCUCUGAGGGGCAUAUGCGAUUAUAACUGCAUUAGAUUACACCUUGGGUUUUUUAGUAUGUUGGUUGGUUGUUAUGGUACAUACCCUGUAUAUGUCACUCCUGAGGGGCAUACGCCUUUAACCACAUUAAAUUUCACCUUAAAUUAC